CAUACUCAACUAAUUAACCAAUGC
Molecule: non-coding RNA, 24 nt
Filed under: Arabidopsis thaliana (thale cress)
Lineage: Eukaryota; Viridiplantae; Streptophyta; Magnoliopsida; Brassicales; Brassicaceae
Source: RNAcentral